AAGCUCGUAGUUGAAUUUCGGGGUUUACCCAUUGGUCAGGCUUAAUUGUCUGUACUGGUGAGAUAAAUCUCUACCUUCUGAGGAACUUUCAUGCCAUUUAUUUGGUGUGAUUGGAAAUCGGGACUAUUACUUUGAAAAAAUUAGAGUGUUUAAAGCAGGCUAACGUCUGAAUAUAUUAGCAUGGAAUAAUGAAAUAGGACGGCUUGGUUCUAUUUCGUUGGUUUCUAGGAUCACCGUAAUGAUUAAUAGGGAUAGUUGGG
This 260-nucleotide ribosomal RNA is filed under the name uncultured Glomeromycotina. RNAcentral describes it as "partial 18S ribosomal RNA". It matches the Rfam family "Eukaryotic small subunit ribosomal RNA", at positions 624 to 886 of the family's 1831-position model. The record is from RNAcentral. Lineage: Eukaryota; Fungi; Glomeromycota.